UGACCUUUCUUCACUAUUCUUCUAACACGGCCUCUCCUGACUGGAGGACGUCCUCGUGCUCCUGUGUCUCCUGAUGUUGGGCGCCUACCGAGCAGGAGGGCACAGGCUCCGUAGUAGGCUCGCGAGACACAUUGUUGCUCCGAGCAGUUUGCUCAGGCAUGGACUCCAUAUCGUCAUCAUGGUCUGCACCUGAGAACAUAAAACAUAUCGGAUCGGAAUAUCAGCAAUUACCAAGAACACAUUGAUCCGUAGUUGAUCACAAAUACAAAUACAAAUACCAGAAAGGAAGCACGACGUUAGCUAUCUCUGACUGUAAGAAACAUAGGCACGACGUUAGCUUAUUUCUUACAUCCGCUCACCUACAUGGCAUAGGCACGACGUUAGCGUACCAUGAGGCUCGUACGAAUGGCAGAGGCGCGACGUUAGCGUACCAUUUAAAAAUCAACCACAUGGCAUAGGCACGACGUUAGCGUACCAUGAGGCUCAUAGCAGGGUUACAAGCAGGGUUUCCUGCACAAGAAGAUACGGGUCGGUGUAUUUGCAGAUCAAAGAUAGUCAACCGCCGCGGCACCCACUAGUCGGCAGCAUCCGCGAGAUACCAUGACUGACGGUUCAAGAAGACCGCAGACAGAAUACAGUCAGCAGCUGCGUCGCCCGAUUCUGCGGCGCCCGAAGCUCGCAGCUGGCAAGCAGAGUAGCCCGCAGAUAGAAGACAGUCAAGGCUGCAUCGCCUGAGUCGAACUUGCCAGUCACUUGUGCCCGCUGCUUAACGGUCUCUGGCAUGCGAGCUUCGACUAAAACUUGCACCUUCUGUUCGCUCGGCUGCACCUGACCCUUAACGACAGUCCGUUCCGAAAAUUCUACUUUAGUGGACAAAAAAGAGCAUUACUUUAGGUUAAUAGAAAAGCCAGAAUCAGUCAAAGUUUGAAGCACCUUGCGAAGAGUCAACAGACCCUCAUUAAUUGUACUGCUCAGUUUAUACUGAGAUGAUACAUCGUCAAUAUACAUGACAUCAACAGACUCUAAGUAUGCGUAAAGAGUUUUUGACAGUAUCCGCUGGUAAACAACAGGUGCAUUUGCUAAACUAUAGGCAUUUUCAAAUAUUCAUAGUGCCCCUCUGGUGUAACAAAACCUGUGAGUGGUAUUGAGGCAUUAUCCACAGGUAUCGGAUGAAAUCCUAUGGGCAUCUCGAGACUGGCGGUGGCUUUUGUGUUUACGUAAUCGUUCAAUGUGAUCGUCGAUCAACAGUAAAGAGAAGCGAUCGUUAACUGUAAUUUCGUUGAGUUUACGAUAGUCGACACACAUGCAGCCAGACCAGAUUUUUUUUUUUGCUAAUAGGAUAGAACUCGCAUAUUUCAAUUCAGAGUCUAGAUUGAUAUUCUUUUCGAGAAGAUCUUUAAUUGUUUCGUGAAUAUUUUAUAAUUUCGGGAUAAGAUUGCCUCUAGGGCCUUUAAUAAACUGGCAUAGCACUAUUUAAUUUAAUUGACACGCUGCCGGUGUUAACUGUGGACGUAACCGUCCCAGAAAUACAACAGUUCAAAAAUGUCUUAAUUAGGUUUAACAGGUUACUUAAAUUUUGAUCAGCUGUUAAAGAUGUCUUAAUGGGAAUCUGUGUAGUCGGCAUGGUGCAUGUGCAACAUCAACUGUAAGACGAGGCUUGUAAGUAAGGUAUUGCUGGUCACGGGUACGUACAUGAGUAGCAACUCCGCGGUUCAAUACAUCGGUACCAACAAUAAUAGGAGUAUUCAUAAGUUCAGGGGACACGGCAUGUAAGUCCACCUCUAAAGUUAUUUCAUUAAACUUUUGACAAAAUAAGUUGACUCAAUUUUCGCCUAUACCUCUUAAAACUCUGAAAGCUGGCUUACGUGCACAUUUGAAAUGUCUCAGCAACGAUGAAGAAAUCAAGGAUAUACUUGAACCGCUAUCUAUAAGAAUAUCGACAGGAAUUCCCUGUAUGACUGCUACUACUAUAUCUUUGUGUUUAUUAUGGCGGUUUUCCUGGCAGAAGUUCACAUUAUUCGUGUUACGAGAAUCAGAUUUAAGUCUUGCAAAACAAGUUUCAAUUUUAUGACCCGGUUUUUUGCAGAAAGUGCAAGGUGUGGAUUUAUUUAAACUCAGAGCAGAACUAUCCUUCUUAUUGUUUUCAUCGUUGUUGAUUUUAUUAAAAAUGGUUUUAGACUUCUUAAAACAAUGAGACUGUGUAUGACCACGUUGGCCACAUACAAAACAUUUACCUUCCUCAAAUUUACGUCUACGAAAGUUUGCAUCAUGAUUUAAGUUAGAAAAACGGCUAUUACGAGUGCUGUCACUAGAUUUCUUAUUAAUCGUUGAGGAUUUGACAUAAAUAGAGAAGAAUUCUACUAGCUCAUUUGGCAUUAACUUCGCAUUGGUAGCCGAAGCACGAAUUUGCGGAUCCGUAAUGCCCCGUAUAACUAUCGCUGAAAUUAGUUCAUCACUCAACCCCCUAACUAUGCGUAGCUUUAAUAAGGACCGGCGAGCAUAAUCGGCAUAUGUCAGGUAUUUAUCAGAAUCAUUACUCAUGACCUCGUAUAAAAUAUUUGAAAUAUCCGGUUUCCUAGGGCACAACGGCUUAAAUUCUUUCUUAAAAUUGCUCCAACUACGAUCGUUAGUUACCCAUUCAUUGAGCCAAGUCCUAGCAUCCCCUUUAAGACAGUUACCGAUGCGAGACAGACACUCAUUAUCGUUCCAAUAGUUUGUACUCUUAGCACGAUCAACUUCCUCACACCAGGCGUCUAUAUCGUGGAUACUAGGAUCGAAAUUAGAUAUGUAAUAAGAUUGGUUAGAUCUCACCGUUGUGUUGAUUGAACGUAUCGCAUCGAUUAUACGAUCGGUCCCGCUGGCGUCAUGGUCCGUAAUUGCACUCACGGGACGCCCCGGCGAGGACAGCACAGCAGACUCUCGGCCUUCCACCGCCGAGCUCUGAUACUCAGCUACAGGUGCGGUGACAGGUCGCAGCCGUGGUGGCGUUGGCGCAGACGCACCGGCUCUCGGCUCGUAUGGCCGCGGCUGUGAGGAGCGGCGUUGCCCCUCCAGUGCAGUUAAACGACUGAAAAUUUGUUGCAUUUGUUCGAUUAGCACGUUAUUAGGCGUCUAGAACCAGAAUCACUGUCACUUGAGUGUACAGCACUGUGUACAGGACGCGAGUUACGGUUUCUAGAGCGACUUCUACUUUUACGAUUUUGAUUUGACAUUUUCUUUACUAAUUUUAACAGUAAAUUACGAAAAAUAAAAGUAAAAUAUGUAAGAAGCUAAAUAGCACAAUAGAGUAAUAACAAAUUAGUUCUCAAUUCACAAAUUUAUUUAAAAUCUUCUAAAAUUAUAUUAAAAAUCACUGUACGUACUAUUAAAAAUAUUGAAACGUAAAUAUUGAAACUUACUCACCAGGGUUCUUAGUAUUGUAUACUUUACCAUACAACCAAGCAGAUUUCAACCUACUUACGUAGCGGCAAGGAACAUGAAAACAAUUCACUGUUCGAACGCAACAAAAACAACUCGUUAAGUGUUUCGAAUCAUGUUUCGAAUAGUCAAACUACCAUAUCUCAGGAACGCAAAGCGGAUUAGGUUACGUGAAGUGUCGUAUCCCACUUCUGAUUUUAGGAACCAGAUGUGGAAUCGAAAUAAAAAAUACAGUAACAAUUACUUACAAGCUUUUAUACUUAUAUCAGGAUAGACUGUAUGUAACCAAAUGUGUUACAAAAAUAAAAUAAAGCUAACGUUUAAAUAACUUUAACGAAUACUACUCGAUUACAAAA
This 3773-nucleotide unclassified non-coding RNA is filed under the name Melitaea cinxia (Glanville fritillary). RNAcentral describes it as "misc RNA ENSMCXG00005015957.1". Lineage: Eukaryota; Metazoa; Arthropoda; Insecta; Lepidoptera; Nymphalidae. The record is from RNAcentral.